AGGCGCAGCCGCUACUAACGGUUCGUUUGUUCAACGAUUAAAACCCUACGUGAUCUGAGUUCAGACCGGAGUAAUCCAGGUCAGUUUCUAUCUAUAAAGGACUUUUUCUAGUACGAAAGGACCGAAAAAGCAUGGCCAAUGCCCAAGUAUGCCAUAUGUACAACUUAUGAUAAUAUCUUAAUAAAAACACAUCCUACCACAAACCCCAAAAAAAGGGGAGUUAAC
This 225-nucleotide ribosomal RNA is filed under the name Dendropsophus parviceps (Sarayacu treefrog). RNAcentral describes it as "partial 16S ribosomal RNA". It matches the Rfam family "Bacterial large subunit ribosomal RNA", at positions 2551 to 2837 of the family's 2925-position model. Lineage: Eukaryota; Metazoa; Chordata; Amphibia; Anura; Hylidae. The record is from RNAcentral.